GUCAUAAAUAUGAUCAUUUGCUCAAUGCAGUUCAAUUUUCUAUCUAGCUAGCAAACGUCUUUUUUUUUUUUUUUUUUUUUUUUUUUUUUUUUACAAGAAAUGCAGGAUUUAAUGCCUCUGAGAAGAACAGCCACAAUCUAACCAUCUUGUCAAUUCCAUUCCCUGGAACCUCAGGAGUUGAGUCUUCUUGCCAGUUUCACGGAGUCCACAUCGGCCUUCUUUUUCUAUUCCUCAAUCUUCCAUUUCAGACAGUGUUGGUAAUUGGUUUUUAAUCGGUUCAUUUACCUGAAUGCUUUAUACUGCCUCAGAUGACCAAUUCUUUGCUCAAAAUCGUCAGUUCACUUUGAGCAUUAAUAACACACUGAGAAAAUCACUAAACUAACUAGAAACUCUACUAUCAUGUUUCCAAAGAAAAUGGUGUGUUCUGGGUUUCCUUGACUACCUUCUGAAAGUCAUCAAAAGGAAGGAAAGUUGAUGGUGUUUGCAGCCUGGAAACUCAGGCCUUGAGGAGACAGAGGAAAACUGGGUUAAUAAUCACUUGUGUGAAAAAGAAAUAUAUUUAAGUUUAUUUCAUACGGAGGAGGAAAUUCUGGAAAAAAAAAAAAAGAAAAAAGAAAAACCAAAAAGAGAAGAAAAAAAGAAGCACACGUCAAAAGAUAAAAUAGUGCAGCAGAAGGAUUCAUUGCCUAGGUUAGAAGAAUUUUCACUAUGA
Long non-coding RNA from Rhinopithecus bieti (black snub-nosed monkey), 712 nucleotides. The record is from Ensembl. Lineage: Eukaryota; Metazoa; Chordata; Mammalia; Primates; Cercopithecidae.